GACGAACGCUGGCGGCGUGCUUAACACAUGCAAGUCGAACGGAAAGGCCCUGCUUGCAGGGUACUCGAGUGGCGAACGGGUGAGUAACACGUGGGUGAUCUGCCCUGCACUUCGUGAUAAGCCUGGGAAACUGGGUCUAAUACCGGAUAGGAGCCAUUUUUAGUGUGAUGGUUGGAAAGUUUUUUCGGUGUAGGAUGAGCUCGCGGCCUAUCAGCUUGUUGGUGGGGUAAUGGCCUACCAAGGCGGCGACGGGUAGCCGGCUUGAGAGGGUGGACGGCCACAUUGGGACUGAGAUACGGCCCAGACUCCUACGGGAGGCAGCAGUGGGGAAUAUUGCACAAUGGGCGCAAGCCUGAUGCAGCGACGCCGCGUGGGGGAUGACGGCCUUCGGGUUGUAAACUCCUUUCGCUAGGGACGAAGCUUUUUGUGACGGUACCUAGAUAAGAAGCACCGGCUAACUACGUG
RNAcentral lists this ribosomal RNA (465 nucleotides) under uncultured bacterium. RNAcentral describes it as "partial 16S ribosomal RNA". It matches the Rfam family "Bacterial small subunit ribosomal RNA", at positions 28 to 507 of the family's 1533-position model. The record is from RNAcentral.